This 66-nucleotide transfer RNA is filed under the name Aelia sibirica. RNAcentral describes it as "tRNA-Trp". The record is from RNAcentral. Lineage: Eukaryota; Metazoa; Arthropoda; Insecta; Hemiptera; Pentatomidae.
AAAGCUUUAAGUUAAUAAAACUAUUAACCUUCAAAGUUAAAUUUAUAUAAUUUUAUAUAAGCUUUA